CUACGGGCGGCAGCAGUGAGGAAUAUUGCGCAAUGGGGGAAACCCUGACGCAGCGACGCCGCGUGGAUGAUGAAGGCCUUAGGGUCGUAAAAUCCUGUCAGGUGGGAAGAAUUGGAUAUAGAUUAAUACUCUAUUUCUUUGACGGUACCACCAAAGGAAGCACCGGCUAACUCCGUGCCAGCAGCCGCGGUAAUACGGAGGGUGCAAACGUUGUUCGGAAUUACUGGGCGUAAAGCGCGCGUAGGCGGUUUGUUAAGUCAGAUGUGAAAGUCCAUGGCUCAACUAUGGAAGUGCAUUUGAAACGGGCAGAUUUGAGUACUGGAGGGGGGGAUGAAAUUCCCGGUGUAGAGGUAAAAUCCGUAGAUAUCGGGAGGAAUACCGGUGGCGAAGGCGAUCACCUGGCCAGAUACUGACGCUGAGGUGCGAAAGCGUGGGGAGCAAACAGGAUUAGAUACCCGCGUAGUC
This 465-nucleotide ribosomal RNA is filed under the name uncultured bacterium. RNAcentral describes it as "partial 16S ribosomal RNA". It matches the Rfam family "Bacterial small subunit ribosomal RNA", at positions 339 to 795 of the family's 1533-position model. The record is from RNAcentral.